GACGAACGCUGGCGGCGUGCUUAACACAUGCAAGUCGAACGGAAAGGCCCUGCUUUUGUGGGGUGCUCGAGUGGCGAACGGGUGAGUAACACGUGAGUAACCUGGCCUUGACUUUGGGAUAACUUCAGGAAACUGGGGCUAAUACCGGAUAGGAGAUCCUGCUGCAUGGUGGGGGGUGGAAAGUUUCGGGGGUUGGGGAUGGACUCGCGGCUUAUCAGCUUGUUGGUGGGGUAGUGGCUUACCAAGGAUUUGACGGGUAGCCGGCCUGAGAGGGUGACCGGCCACAUUGGGACUGAGAUACGGCCCAGACUCCUACGGGAGGCAGCAGUGGGGAAUAUUGCACAAUGGGCGGAAGCCUGAUGCAGCAACGCCGCGUGCGGGAUGACGGCCUUCGGGUUGUAAACCGCUUUCGCCUGUGACGAAGCGUGAGUGACGGUAAUGGGUAAAGAAGCACCGGCUAACUACGUG
RNAcentral lists this ribosomal RNA (468 nucleotides) under uncultured bacterium. RNAcentral describes it as "partial 16S ribosomal RNA". It matches the Rfam family "Bacterial small subunit ribosomal RNA", at positions 28 to 507 of the family's 1533-position model. The record is from RNAcentral.